Molecule: unclassified non-coding RNA, 156 nt
Filed under: uncultured Chaetosphaeriales
Lineage: Eukaryota; Fungi; Ascomycota; Sordariomycetes
Description: sequence contains ITS2
Source: RNAcentral
CCACCCUCAGGCUCUGCCUGGUGUUGGGGGCCGGCCGCCCUGGGCGGCCGCCCCCGAAAGACAGCGGCGGGCUCGCCCCGGUCCCGAGCGUAGUAGCAACACGUCGCUCCGGGUGCCGGGCGGGCUCUCGCCGUAAAACCCCCCAUACUUCUAUGG